This 876-nucleotide long non-coding RNA is filed under the name Phoenix dactylifera (date palm). RNAcentral's name for it is "long non-coding RNA (PDAC_LNC014613)". The record is from RNAcentral. Lineage: Eukaryota; Viridiplantae; Streptophyta; Magnoliopsida; Arecales; Arecaceae.
AAAGUUAAAUUUCGCAUUGGGUCCAAAAAUAUGCAUCACUACAGGUGAUCAGCCAACCGCUUGUGUCAACCCCAGUUGCACACUAGAAGGAGGUCAAGUUCAGCUGUCCACUUCAUCGCAGCUUCAGUCUUCUAUGAGCCCAAGCAUCUGAGCCGCGUGCAGCCCAUCCUCCCGUGUGGAAGAAUCACGAAGCAUCCUCCGCGUCUACUUCUUCAGAGCGGCCCAACGUGUGACCCCUCAUCCAGUGUCCGUAAAACCUCCCAGCACCCAAAUCUCAUCCUUCGAUCCAGUCAUCCGAGUCCCAGUUCACAGCGCGUCCCAGCAUCUGCGUGCACCCUCCCAGAUUCUGCCUCAUCCACGAGCCCAUCCACGCGUCCGUGAUCUCAGCGUGCGCAUCCCAGCGUCCGCGUGCAAUCCGCGAAGAUCCCGCAUCCACAACACAAAUCCAGCCUUUUCCAGCAUCUUGUGAGGCAUCAUCCGCGCCCCAUCCUUCGAUCCGCGUCCAUCCGACUCCCAGCAAAGGCUCUGCCACCAGCUAUCCCGAAAUCCUAGCUUCCGUGAUCACGAUUCACCCCGCAUCCAGCUUCUUCCACGAGUCCCAGAUCACAAUCUCCUGAGCAACUCGCUUCCCAGCGAUUUUCCAGCAAGUCCCGACUUCAUCCCAGCAUCCACGCUCCUCCCUUCCGAUCCAUCUGUUGGAUUUCCCAGCGAUUUCAACUCUCCCGAGCGUCCCAGCAUGCCACGUCCGCAUCCAUCCUCUUCUCGGAGGAUUCAUCCCAUCCGUCCGUCCUCUCCAUGUGCCAUGAGGGAAUCCAUCGCUGGUUGAGGAGCUUUGGGGAUCUAUAUGAAGGGAUCUCUCGGCUGGAGGGGGUUCUU